Molecule: long non-coding RNA, 93 nt
Filed under: Mustela putorius furo (domestic ferret)
Lineage: Eukaryota; Metazoa; Chordata; Mammalia; Carnivora; Mustelidae
Description: lncRNA (ENSMPUG00000026990.1)
Source: RNAcentral
AGGAAGAGAUAACUUCAUCUUGUCAUACUAAAAUGGAAAUUGAGAAAAAUCACAAGAGAUAUAAAGAAGAAAAUAAAUUUCACAGUGAUAACC